CACAUCCUGGCAACGGUACUACCCUGGGUUCCGGGCAGGGGUGGAACUGGAUUCUGCCUGGAUGGGGAUCGGAUGGGGGUGGAGGUUUGAUUUGGGAAGCAGAGCACAGCAGCCCAAAUUUGUUGUAAUGGCGGCGGCUACAGGUACCCUUGUGACUAUGAAGAUUGACAAAAAGUUGACGGCAACGAUGAAUUCUCUUCCAGAACUUACAUCCCAGAAGGCCCUCCCCUACUUCGGGUCUCCCUAGAGAGUGGAGAGACCUGCUGCCCUUGAAGAAGCAAACAGCCAUGUUGUGAGCUGCCUAAGCCUCUAGGUCUUGAGGGAAGCUUACAGUUAAGAGCCAGCAAAA
Molecule: long non-coding RNA, 349 nt
Filed under: Homo sapiens (human)
Lineage: Eukaryota; Metazoa; Chordata; Mammalia; Primates; Hominidae
Description: HSALNT0409103
Source: RNAcentral